UGGACCCGCAAUGUGUCGACUCGGGGGAUUCAACCGGGCCGUUACGCACGGGACGCGCUGGGGUUAUGCGGAGCCGUAAAGCCCGUGCCUUGGCGUGGGUCUCCGGGCGGCCUGGUGCACUUUCCUCGGGUCGAUUGCCACGGCCGGCUCUCCGUGCGGCCAGAAGCCUAUCGCUGGUAAGGUGACCGCGGUCCCCGCGGUGUUAUAGACCAGCAAGUCCGUUGAGCUCGUCGGAGGGCCGAGGAAGGUUGCCGCGUCCCUUCACCCUCUGGUCAUCCUUGCUCGUCACGACUGGGGUGGACUGUCCCGUCAGUGCUCUCCCGACCGCGAGCGUAGGAAGGGCUGGUACGGUGUGGGACUUUGCUUCGGGCCAGUGGCGAAUCGGUCGGUACCCCACCC
This 399-nucleotide ribosomal RNA is filed under the name Pseudodon vondembuschianus. Its description in RNAcentral is "partial 28S ribosomal RNA". Lineage: Eukaryota; Metazoa; Mollusca; Bivalvia; Unionida; Unionidae. The record is from RNAcentral.